AUUGAACGCUGGCGGCGUGCCUAAUACAUGCAAGUCGAGCGGAAUGAUGAAGAAGCUUGCUUCUUCUGAUUUUAGCGGCGGACGGGUGAGUAACACGUGGGCAACCUACCUUGUAGAUUGGGAUAACUCCGGGAAACCGGGGCUAAUACCGAAUAAUCCAUUUUGCUUCAUGGCGAGAUGUUGAAAGACGGUUUCGGCUGUCACUACAAGAUGGGCCCGCGGCGCAUUAGCUAGUUGGUAGGGUAAUGGCCUACCAAGGCGACGAUGCGUAGCCGACCUGAGAGGGUGAUCGGCCACACUGGGACUGAGACACGGCCCAGACUCCUACGGGAGGCAGCAGUAGGGAAUCUUCCACAAUGGACGAAAGUCUGAUGGAGCAACGCCGCGUGAGUGAAGAAGGUUUUCGGAUCGUAAAACUCUGUUGUAAGGGAAGAACACGUACGAGAGUAACUGCUCGUACCUUGACGGUACCUUAUUAGAAAGCCACGGCUAACUACGUG
Molecule: ribosomal RNA, 500 nt
Filed under: uncultured bacterium
Lineage: Bacteria
Description: bacterial SSU rRNA
Rfam family: Bacterial small subunit ribosomal RNA
Source: RNAcentral